Molecule: long non-coding RNA, 1729 nt
Organism: Culex pipiens pallens (northern house mosquito)
Lineage: Eukaryota; Metazoa; Arthropoda; Insecta; Diptera; Culicidae
Exons: 2
Source: RefSeq, a predicted model, not a curated record
ACGUGGAUUUUUUAAAUAUCAUAAUUCAAAAAAAUGAUUUUUCCCAUACAAAUUUGUAUGGAAAAUUGAACCGCUUUGCGCAAAGUGGGAACUUAACCAAUCGUUACCAAACUUUUGGGAGUUGUUUAGGACCCCAAAAGGAACUAAAAUAAUGCUGUGCUGGAAAAUCGAUUUUGAUAUUACACCCUAACGGGACAUGCUCAUGGCUUCAGUUAGCAUGUUUGGGUUGAUUUAAAAAUCUUUAGAAUUUUUGAAAAUGUCCGAUGUUUAGUAUCGCAAAAAGUUUUUUUUCGAUGAAAUUAAAAAAAAAGGUAUUUAGGUAAUUGUCAUUAUUUUUGUUCGUUUGCCUCACAUGGUUUGAAAUCGUGUUUAAAACAAACAUUAAAAAAAUCAAAAGCAAAAUUUCUGAUAAAUCGGUUUGCAAAAUUUUCUCAUUUACCUUCAAUACAAUAUUUAAAAAAGCAAAAUAUUGGAAAUUUUUAGAUUUUUGAAAAUAUUUUUUUCAACCGUGGACAAACACGGGCAUUACAGUCCAGACUCGGUUAUCCGAAAGCCUCGGAAAAAAAUCACUUCGGAUAAUCUAAUCACGCAAAAAAAAUGUGUUGUCUUAUUUUUAAAUGUAGAGCUUAAGCAUGACCCCUUAACUACUCAAAAGUGAUUUAGAAUUUUUAAAUCCAAGAUGGCGGCCAAAAUGGCGGUGAUGAAAUAUUUUUAAAAAAAUGCAUUUGGUAGUUUUUAAGGCAAUCAACAAUUCAAGUUUGAGUGAAAAAGGGUCGCAGAAUUCGAAUUUGAUGUUAAAAGUAAGAAAACGAGAAAACGUUUUUUUUUUGUUCGUGAUUCGCUUAUCCCAAGUCCCAUACAAACCUACGGAUAAUCGAACUUCGGAUAAUGGAAACUUCGGUAUUUUGAAAAAAAAAUAUUUUUUCUAGAAAAGUUACCAAGUUAAUGGCUAUAAUUUGAAAAUGGUGCACUUUAACUAAAUAUAACUAUGUUCUUUUAGAUUGUGAAUUUAAUUUUACAUUGAAAAUCACAAGCAAUCUGAUUUUUCAGAUUAUUUUUAAAAAAAUCACUAAUAAACCAAUAAUCCCCUGGAACAUAUAAACAAAUAUUUAAAAAUGUUGUAAGUUUUGAAAAUCAACUUUUAGUGUCAAAUUUAAAAAAAAAAAUCAGUAACUUAUUUUUAUUUGAUGAAGUCCUCAUUUAUACCUUAAACUUUUCUGAAGACAGCAAGUCAUUAAAAAAAUCCUUCACAAGAUACAGAUUUUCGUAUAGACAGCUGCCAAAUUUGUAUGGAAAGUGAUAUAAACAAAUUGUAAAAUAGCUUCUUUGGGCAUACGGAAGGCUUCCAAAAAGUUGAAGCCAUAGAAUAAAAUGGAAAAAAUCGGAUGACCGAUUUGCUCAAAAUAGUAGUUUAUGCAACAAGUUGCAAAAAGAAGAUUUUUUCAGCACGAGUUGUACAUUUAUCCAACGAGGUUUACCGAGUUGGAUAAAUACGACGAGUGCUGAAAAAAUUAAGUUUUGCAACGAGUUGCUUACAACAUUUUUUGCAAUUCCGAAAAACGCUUAUUUAAUGGAAUUUUAUGUCAAACAUUCAUGUGUUUAGUAAAUUCAUCGUUCAAAACAAAACAAUAUUGAAAAAUGUUACUUUUCGAUACUAGUGCUGAAAAGUAUUAAUUUUCCAUUCUGUUAUUUUUGGUAGGGAAAAGUAGGCCGUUUCGUUUCUCCAGAA